Molecule: long non-coding RNA, 455 nt
Organism: Mauremys mutica (yellowpond turtle)
Lineage: Eukaryota; Metazoa; Chordata; Testudines; Geoemydidae
Exons: 5
Source: RefSeq, a predicted model, not a curated record
CCCCAUCACAAGAACUUUCAAAAUGUGAACAGAAUAUAAACUGAUGACUGAGUCUGCAAACAGCUUGAAACAACAGCGAUGAAAGAAAUAUGAACUCCUAUUAUUCAUCUUGAUGCGUGUUGAUGCUGAGGCCUAAUGAUGAAAGAUCCUGCCUUCCUGCUGAAUAGGUGAAAUGUUAAGGCCUCAGUGUCAUAGCUCGUUUGUCAAGGGCACCUGCAGGGUUGGAAGCUGCACCAGAAAGGAGAGAGAAAAGUUACCCCAAGCCCAUGAAAAUAAACAGAACUGAAGGGAUCUAAAUCAAAGAUCUGGACUUGAAAGGAUAGAAUUGCUUCCAGUCAUCUACCUGGAAGGAGGGAUAUUUGAUAACCAGGUGGCAGAGCAAAGGAAACGCUAAGGAUGGAUGACAAACAAACUGAUGGGCAGAAAACAGCAAAGUUUUAAACAAGUGCUGGAGA